UGGGGAAUAUUGGACAAUGGGCGCAAGCCUGAUCCAGCCAUGCCGCGUGGGUGAAGAAGGCCUGCGGGUUGUAAAGCACUUUCGGUAGGGAAGAUAAUGACGGUACCUACAGAAGAAGCACCGGCUAACUCCGUGCCAGCAGCCGCGGUAAUACGGAGGGUGCGAGCGUUAAUCGGAAUUACUGGGCGUAAAGCGCGCGUAGGCGGCUUUGUAAGUCGGAUGUGAAAGCCCCGGGCUUAACCUGGGAAUUGCAUUCGAUACUGCAUAGCUAGAGUAUGGUAGAGGGUAGCGGAAUUCCGGGUGUAGCGGUGAAAUGCGUAGAUAUCCGGAGGAACACCAGUGGCGAAGGCGGCUACCUGGACCAAUACUGACGCUGAGGCGCGAAAGCCAGGGGAGCAAACGGGAUUAGAUACCCAUGUAGUCCCUGAGCGGGCUGGCAAGGCGCAU
This 447-nucleotide ribosomal RNA is filed under the name uncultured bacterium. RNAcentral's name for it is "bacterial SSU rRNA". It matches the Rfam family "Bacterial small subunit ribosomal RNA", at positions 355 to 825 of the family's 1533-position model. The record is from RNAcentral.